CACGUAGGCGGAUUGGAAAGUUGGGGGUGAAAUCUCGGGGCUCAACCCCGGAACUGCCUUCAAAACUCCCAGUCUUGAGUUCGAGAGAGGUGAGUGGAAUUCCGAGUGUAGAGGUGAAAUUCGUAGAUAUUCGGAGGAACACCAGUGGCGAAGGCGGCUCACUGGCUCGAUACUGACGCUGAGGUGCGAAAGCGUGGGGAGCAAAACA
This 208-nucleotide ribosomal RNA is filed under the name uncultured bacterium. RNAcentral describes it as "partial 16S ribosomal RNA". It matches the Rfam family "Bacterial small subunit ribosomal RNA", at positions 568 to 775 of the family's 1533-position model. The record is from RNAcentral.